GACGAACGCUGGCGGCGUGCUUAACACAUGCAAGUCGAACGGAAAGGCCCUGCUUUUGUGGGGUGCUCGAGUGGCGAACGGGUGAGUAACACGUGAGUAACCUGCCCUUGACUUUGGGAUAACUUCAGGAAACUGGGGCUAAUACCGGAUAGGAGCUCCUGCUGCAUGGUGGGGGUUGGAAAGUUUCGGCGGUUGGGGAUGGACUCGCGGCUUAUCAGCUUGUUGGUGGGGUAGUGGCUUACCAAGGCUUUGACGGGUAGCCGGCCUGAGAGGGUGAACGGCCGCGCGGGGAGAGAGAGCUGCGACGGACACGAGGGGGGGGGAGGUGUGGGGAAGGAUGGACGGGGGGGGGACGCCUGAGGCGUGCAGCGGGGGUGCGGGCGGUGGUCCGGGGGGUGAUCAGCCGCUCGCGGGUGUGAGGGAGCGUGAGUGCGGUGAAGGGAUAAAGAAGCAGCGGCUAACGACGCGCGAGCGGUGCGAAAUAAUAGGAGGAGCACACGUCUGCCG
Molecule: ribosomal RNA, 507 nt
Filed under: uncultured bacterium
Lineage: Bacteria
Description: partial 16S ribosomal RNA
Rfam family: Bacterial small subunit ribosomal RNA (bases 20-330)
Source: RNAcentral